CAUCACUUUGGGGACGGGAUAGAACAGUGGACCUUUGGGUCCCGAGCCGAACAUCUUAACCACUAGACAAAAGGAAU
RNAcentral lists this transfer RNA (77 nucleotides) under Araneus ventricosus. RNAcentral describes it as "tRNA-Pro". Lineage: Eukaryota; Metazoa; Arthropoda; Arachnida; Araneae; Araneidae. The record is from RNAcentral.